This 253-nucleotide ribosomal RNA is filed under the name uncultured bacterium. RNAcentral describes it as "partial 16S ribosomal RNA". It matches the Rfam family "Bacterial small subunit ribosomal RNA", at positions 524 to 776 of the family's 1533-position model. The record is from RNAcentral.
UACGUAGGGGGCUAGCGUUGUCCGGAUUUAUUGGGCGUAAAGAGCGUGUAGGCGGCUUGGCAAGUCUGCUGUGAAAACUCGAGGCUCAACCUCGAGAUGUCGGUGGAAACUGCCUGGCUAGAGUCCGGAAGAGGAGAGUGGAAUUCCUGGUGUAGCGGUGAAAUGCGCAGAUAUCAGGAGGAACACCGGUGGCGAAGGCGGAUCUCUGGGCCUUGCCUGACGCUGAGGCGCGAAAGCUAGGGGAGCGAACAGG